UGUAGGACUGUCCUAGAAGGAUCUUCAAAAUACAACUGAAGAGGAUAAAUAAAUAGCAAAUCAGCAUAUCAGCCAGCAGUUAUUUGUUUCUGAACAUGCAGAGUCACCUUAAAAUACUACCCACCAGCCACUAAACCAGCAGAAACUAAGGAUGCUGAACUUCAGGAAGGACCAUCCCUGAAAAAACUGGGCUCCUUAUAAAAAUACUCUGAAGUAAAUCAUUGGAGAAUGCUGCUUUGAACAACUACUGCUUCAUUUCAUAUUUUGAAUCACGGACAAGCAAUUUGGUGUCUACUAUGAUCACUGCUUAUGCUGGGAAGUACUGCAAGCCUCAACAGAAUUUAGUCCUUUUGAAUUACUGCAUAGAAGACAACCAAGGGGGAUCCUGGAUGAAAUUAAAGAGAGCUGGAGUAACUGGAUUGAAUCCCCUAAAAACCUGGUUAUAUAUGUACUGCCUUGAAGAGAAAAAUUGCACCCUGUAACCCAGAUUGUACAAGAACUUCUAGCUUAGGCACAGGACUUACAAGAAAGGUGAUAUGAUAAAAAAAAGCAUGGAAGAAACAAUUGGCAGUAGAAGACCAACUGUGACUGUUACUACCAAGCAUUGAAUGCAAACAAGCUCAGUGGCAAGGUCCUUAUUCCAUUGUGGAAAAAAAACCCAGUCCUAUAAACUAUCAAAUCGAUCUAGGAAAUGGAAAAUAUGAGAUCCACCAUACCAAUUUCUUGAGAAAAUGGCAUACACACUGUGCUUGUUGUUCUGAAUAAGGAUCAUCAAGACUCACAGAUAAGACAUAUGAAGGAUUAGUACAAUACCAUUAAUGAAGAGGUACAUAUCAAUCAGUCUCUGUCACCAUCACAAAAAGAUGACCAAAAAGAACUAAUCCAGAUCUUCCACCCUACAUUUACCAAUGUACAACCACAUUAGUGAAAUACGUCAUCAACAGAGGAUGCCAAACCAAUCAGACAGAGACCAUACUGUGUUCCAGAGAGACUCCAGAAUGUAGUAGAGAAAAAAGUGGAUAAAAUGUUAAAAUUGGGAGUGACUGAAGCAUCUCACAGUGAAUGGUGUGCCUCUGUUAUGUUAACCCCAAAACUAAAUGGUGAGAUGAGGUUUUGUGCUGAUAUGAGACAAACACAUUGUUAAAUUUGACAGCAAUCCAAUGUUACAUAUAGAUGACCUUUUGGGUAGACUGAAUAAGACCCAAUAUCUUUCUACCAUCAAUCUGAUGAAAGGCAAAUACCUUUAGAGAGGGCAUCCAGAGAAAAUAUUGCAUUUGCCACUCCACAAGGACUACUUCAGUUUACCAAAAUGCAUUCUGAGCUGCAUGGAGCUCUUCCUACAUUUCAUAGGCUUAUAGACAGAAAAUUAUCAGGAAAAGCAAAAUGGUGUGAGAUCUACUGGACAAUAUUGUGGUAUACAACUAAAAUUGGGAAGACCAUUUGAAACAUUCAGGAAGAGUAAGCAACAAAUUGAAGAAUACAGGACUUACAAUAAACCCUACUAAAUGCCAUCUAGGGUUUAAAGAAUUAAAAUACCUGUGCCUGAGUAGUUACUCCUACCAUUCCCUCUGAGGAUACAUCCUGUGGCCGUAUUAACUGUCUAAACUGUGCAAAACAAACAAACACACACGGGAUGUGACAUCUUGAUAGCCCUGAAAGGUAUCAAUUCUGUGUUAGACCAAUUUACAUUUAUAUCUGGAAAGGUUCCAAAGCCAUCAGUUAAUUUUAUUAAUUUUGGCAUAGAAGACUCAGGUGCAUCAAUCAAUACCAACUUACCAUAUAUGAACAAAGCUGCUUAAUAUGCAUAGAUAUCCCUUUGUAUAUACAAGUAGUCCUCGACCUAUGACCAUUCGUUCAGUGACUGUUCAAAGUUACAACAGUGCUGAAUGAAUAGUGGUUAUGACUGGUUCUCAGAGUUCCAGCUAUCCCAGCACCCCCCCCCAGUCAUGUGAUCACGAUCUGGGUGCUUGGCAACCGGUUUGCACUUAUGAACAGUUGCAGCGCCCCGUGAUCACAUGAUCUCCAUUUGCAACUUUCCCUGCCAGCUUCCCCAGAACGUCAAUGGGGAAGCUGGCAGGGAAGGUCACAAGUCACUGGGGUAAGUCUCUGUACCCACACACCCUACCCGAGCCCCUCUGCUUGUGCCACACCGGCCACUCAUGCACCCCUGCGCACUCUCCCCAACCCGCACUGCACCCUCACACCCUCUGACCCGCACCACACCCUUGGCCCAUGCCACACCUCUCACGCACUCCCUCGCACCCUGUCCCCCACCCACACUGCACCCUCGUGCACACUCCCUGCAUCUCAGGCAUCCCCUCACACCCUUGCACACCAUCCCCAACCUGUGCCACACCCUCACACACACACCCUGACCUACAUCGCACCCUCGUGCAUCUUCUCUGACCCACGCCACACUCUUGCUCUCUCCACCACCCGGCAGUAGCCACUUAGCUGCCUGCUGGCCUGGGACUUGCAACUUCCUGCCAGCUUCC
This is a long non-coding RNA of Python bivittatus (Burmese python), 2495 nucleotides long. RefSeq lists it as uncharacterized. Lineage: Eukaryota; Metazoa; Chordata; Lepidosauria; Squamata; Pythonidae. The record is from RefSeq and is a predicted model, not a curated record.